Molecule: ribosomal RNA, 468 nt
Filed under: uncultured bacterium
Lineage: Bacteria
Description: partial 16S ribosomal RNA
Rfam family: Bacterial small subunit ribosomal RNA
Source: RNAcentral
GAUGAACGCUGGCGGCGUGCCUAACACAUGCAAGUCGAGCGGAAAGGCCCUGCUUUUGUGGGGUUCUCGAGUGGCGCACAGGGGUGUAACACGCGAGUAUCCCGCCCUUGUCUUUGGGAUAACUUCACGAAACUGGGGCUAAUACCGGAUAGGAGCUCCUGCUGCGUGGGGGGCGUUGGAAAGUUUCGGCUGUUGGGGCUUGUAUGGCGGCUUAUCAGCUUGUUGGUGGGGUAGUGGCAUACCAAGGCUUUGACGGCUAGGCCGCCUGAGAGGGUGAACGGCCUCAAUGGGACUGCGGGACGGCCCAGACGGCAACGGGAGGCAACGGUGGAGAAUAUUGCGCAGCGGGCGCGAGCGUGAUGCAGCAGCGCCGGGAUCGGAAAGACGGCCUUCGGGUGGUAAACCGCUGUCGCCGGUGACGAGGCGGGAGUGACGGUAAUUGGUAAAGAAGCACCGGCUAACUACGUG